GGAAGGACGCUUAGGGCUAAGGGGGCUAGCGGAUGGAAGUGCUAGUCUAAGGUUGUAGGAGGUUAUACAGGCAAAUCCGUAUAACAAUACUCCGAGAACUGAAAGGCUUUUUGAAGUCUUCGGAUGGAUAGAAGAACCCCUGAUGCCGUCGAGCCAAGAAAAGUUUCUAAGUUUAGCUAAUGUUGCCCGUACCGUAAACCGACACAGGUGGGUGGGAUGAGUAUUCUAAGGCGCGUGGAAGAACUCUCUUUAAGGAACUCUGCAAAAUAGCACCGUAUCUUCGGUAUAAGGUGUGGUUAGCUUCGUACUAGGAUUUACUCCGAAAGCGAAGAAACUUACAACAAAGAGUCCCUCCCGACUGUUUACCAAAAACACAGCACUCUGCUAACUCGUAAGAGGAUGUAUAGGGUGUGACGCCUGCCCGGUGCUCGAAGGUUAAUUGAUGGGGUUAGCAUUAGCGAAGCUCUUGAUCGAAGCCCGAGUAAACGGCGGCCGUAACUAUAACGGUCCUAAGGUAGCGAAAUUCCUUGUCGGUUAAAUACCGACCUGCAUGAAUGGCGUAACGAGAUGGGAGCUGUCUCAAAGAGGGAUCCAGUGAAAUUGUAGUGGAGGUGAAAAUUCCUCCUACCCGCGGCAAGACGGAAAGACCCCGUGGACCUUUACUACAGCUUGACACUGCUACUUGGAUAAGAAUGUGCAGGAUAGGUGGGAGGCUUUGAGUAUAUGACGCCAGUUGUAUAUGAGCCAUUGUUGAGAUACCACUCUUUCUUAUUUGGGUAGCUAACCAGCUUGAGUUAUCCUCAAGUGGGACAAUGUCUGGUGGGUAGUUUGACUGGGGCGGUCGCCUCCCAAAUAAUAACGGAGGCUUACAAAGGUUGGCUCAGAACGGUUGGAAAUCGUUCGUAGAGUAUAAAGGUAUAAGCCAGCUUAACUGCAAGACAUACAAGUCAAGCAGAGACGAAAGUCGGUCUUAGUGAUCCGGUGGUUCUGUGUGGAAGGGCCAUCGCUCAAAGGAUAAAAGGUACCCCGGGGAUAACAGGCUGAUCUCCCCCAAGAGCUCACAUCGACGGGGAGGUUUGGCACCUCGAUGUCGGCUCAUCGCAUCCUGGGGCUGGAGCAGGUCCCAAGGGUAUGGCUGUUCGCCAUUUAAAGCGGUACGCGAGCUGGGUUCAGAACGUCGUGAGACAGUUCGGUCCCUAUCUGCCGUGGGCGUAAGAAGAUUGAAGAGAUUUGACCCUAGUACGAGAGGACCGGGUUGAACAAACCACUGGUGUAGCUGUUGUUCUGCCAAGAGCAUCGCAGCGUAGCUAAGUUUGGAAAGGAUAAACGCUGAAAGCAUCUAAGCGUGAAGCCAACUCUAAGAUGAAUCUUCUCUAAGCUCUCUAGAAGACUACUAGUUUGAUAGGCUGGGUGUGUAAUGGAUGAAAGUCCUUUAGCUGACCAGUACUAAUAGAGCGUUUGGCUUAUCUUUAAUAAAGCAU
Molecule: ribosomal RNA, 1481 nt
Filed under: Campylobacter jejuni
Lineage: Bacteria; Pseudomonadati; Campylobacterota; Epsilonproteobacteria; Campylobacterales; Campylobacteraceae
Description: partial 23S ribosomal RNA
Rfam family: Bacterial large subunit ribosomal RNA
Source: RNAcentral